UGUCAGGGGAGCCGCAAGGCUGAGAGGAGGCUUAACGCCUCGACCCUUUAACCUGAUUUGGGUAAUGCCAACGUAGGGAGUGCUUCGUU
Molecule: non-coding RNA, 89 nt
Filed under: bovine gut metagenome
Description: TPP riboswitch (THI element)
Rfam family: TPP riboswitch aptamer (THI element) (bases 4-80)
About the family: Vitamin B(1) in its active form thiamin pyrophosphate (TPP) is an essential coenzyme that is synthesised by coupling of pyrimidine and thiazole moieties in bacteria. The previously detected thiamin-regulatory element, thi box was extended, resulting in a new, highly conserved RNA secondary structure, the THI element, which is widely distributed in eubacteria and also occurs in some archaea. Analysis of operon structures identified a large number of new candidate thiamin-regulated genes, mostly transporters, in various prokaryotic organisms.
Source: RNAcentral